This is a non-coding RNA of Capsicum annuum, 107 nucleotides long. The record is from Rfam. Lineage: Eukaryota; Viridiplantae; Streptophyta; Magnoliopsida; Solanales; Solanaceae.
ACCUUAUGAUUUGGGCAUUCCAUUAAAUUGCUUUUGAAUUAUUUUGAAGCCUCAUAUAAUAGUUCGCCAUUAAGUUGGCAAAAAUUAGUGAUUUCAUCCCUUAGGUU